RNAcentral lists this ribosomal RNA (276 nucleotides) under uncultured Lactobacillus sp. RNAcentral describes it as "partial 16S ribosomal RNA". It matches the Rfam family "Bacterial small subunit ribosomal RNA", at positions 261 to 524 of the family's 1533-position model. Lineage: Bacteria; Bacillati; Bacillota; Bacilli; Lactobacillales; Lactobacillaceae. The record is from RNAcentral.
CGGCUUACCAAGGCGAUGAUGCAUAGCCGAGUUGAGAGACUGAUCGGCCACAUUGGGGACUGAGACACGGGCCCAAAACUCCUACGGGAGGCAGCAGUAGGGAAUCUUCCACAAUGGACGCAAGUCUGAUGGAGCAACGCCGCGUGAGUGAAGAAGGUUUUCGGAUCGUAAAGCUCUGUUGUUGGUGAAGAAGGAUAGAGGUAGUAACUGGCCUUUAUUUGACGGUAAUCAACCAGAAAGUCACGGCUAACUACGUGCCCAGCAGCCGCGGGUAAU